Molecule: ribosomal RNA, 208 nt
Filed under: uncultured Bacillus sp.
Lineage: Bacteria; Bacillati; Bacillota; Bacilli; Caryophanales; Bacillaceae
Description: partial 16S ribosomal RNA
Rfam family: Bacterial small subunit ribosomal RNA
Source: RNAcentral
ACACGGCCCAGACUCCUACGGGAGGCAGCAGUGGGGAAUAUUGCACAAUGGGCGCAAGCCUGAUGCAGCCAUGCCGCGUGUAUGAAGAAGGCCUUAGGGUUGUAAAGUAAUUUCAGCGGGGAGGAAGGUGAUAAGGCUUAAUACCCUUAUCAAUUGACGUUACCCGCACAAGAAGCACCGGCUAACUCCGUGCCAGCAGCCGCGGUAA